This 483-nucleotide ribosomal RNA is filed under the name uncultured bacterium. RNAcentral's name for it is "SSU rRNA". It matches the Rfam family "Bacterial small subunit ribosomal RNA", at positions 1 to 476 of the family's 1533-position model. The record is from RNAcentral.
CGGCUUAGAGUUUGAUCCUGGCUCAGAGUGAACGCUGGCGGCGUGGAUUAGGCAUGCAAGUCGAGCGAUCUCGCAAGAGAUAGCGGCAAACGGGUGAGGAAUACAUAGGUAAUCUUCCCCUAAAUCAGGAAUAGCCCUAUGAAAGUAGGGGUAAUGUCUGAUGGUAUCACGGGAAUGCAUGUUUCUGUGAUUAAAGACAGGGACCUUCGGGCCUGUCGUUUAGGGAUGAGCCGAUGUCUUAUCAGCUAGUUGGUGGGGUAACGGCCCACCAAGGCUAAGACAAGUAGCUGGUCUGAGAGGAUGGUCAGCCACACUGGGACUGAGACACUGCCCAGACUCCUACGGGAGGCUGCAGUCGAGGAUAUUUAGCAAUGGGCGAAAGCCUGACUAUGCGACGCCGCGUGAGGGAUGAAGGUUUUCGGAUCGUAAACCUCUUUUAGCAGGAAAGAAACCUUUCAAGUUAAUAGCUUGAAAGCUGACGGU